AGUGAACGCUGGCGGUAGGCCUAACACAUGCAAGUCGAACGGCAGCACAGUAAGAGCUUGCUCUUACGGGUGGCGAGUGGCGGACGGGUGAGGAAUACGUCGGAAUCUACUUUUUCGUGGGGGAUAACGUAGGGAAACUUACGCUAAUACCGCAUACGACCUACGGGUGAAAGCAGGGGAUCUUCGGACCUUGCGCGAUUGAAUGAGCCGAUGUCGGAUUAGCUAGUUGGCGGGGUAAAGGCCCACCAAGGCGACGAUCCGUAGCUGGUCUGAGAGGAUGAUCAGCCACACUGGAACUGAGACACGGUCCAGACUCCUACGGGAGGCAGCAGUGGGGAAUAUUGGACAAUGGGCGCAAGCCUGAUCCAGCCAUACCGCGUGGGUGAGGAAGGCCUUCGGGUUGUAAAGCCCUUUUGUUGGGAAAGAAAAGCAGCAGGUUAAUACCCCACUGUUCUGACGGUACCCAAAGAAUAAGCACCGGCUAACUUCGUG
This 492-nucleotide ribosomal RNA is filed under the name uncultured bacterium. Its description in RNAcentral is "partial 16S ribosomal RNA". It matches the Rfam family "Bacterial small subunit ribosomal RNA", at positions 29 to 507 of the family's 1533-position model. The record is from RNAcentral.